CCUACGGGAUGCAGCAGUGGGGAAUAUUGGGCAAUGGGCGAAAGCCUGACCCAGCAACGCCGCGUGAAGGAAGAAGGCUUUCGGGUUGUAAACUUCUUUUCUCAGGGACGAAGCAAGUGACGGUACCUGAGGAAUAAGCCACGGCUAACUACGUGCCAGCAGCCGCGGUAAUACGUAGGUGGCAAGCGUUAUCCGGAUUUACUGGGUGUAAAGGGAGUGUAGGCGGGAAAGCAAGUCAGAUGGGAAAACCAUGGGCUCAACCUGUGGCCUGCAUUUGAAACUGUUUUUCUUGAGUACUGGAGAGGCAGACGGAAUUCCUAGUGUAGCGGUGAAAUGCGUAGAUAUUAGGAGGAACACCAGUGGCGAAGGCGGUCUGCUGGACAGCAACUGACGCUGAGGCGCGAAAGCGUGGGGAGCAAACAGGAUUAGAUACCCCAGUAGUC
RNAcentral lists this ribosomal RNA (443 nucleotides) under uncultured bacterium. RNAcentral's name for it is "partial 16S ribosomal RNA". It matches the Rfam family "Bacterial small subunit ribosomal RNA", at positions 338 to 795 of the family's 1533-position model. The record is from RNAcentral.